AGCGGCGGACGGGUGAGUAACGCGUGAACAAUCUGUCCCACACAGGGGGAUAACGCUUGGAAACAGGCGCUAAUACCGCGGUAGACAACUUAGUGGCAUCACAGAGUUGUGGAAGAAGGAAUUCGGUGCGGGGUGAGUUCGCGUCCCAUUAGAUAGUUGGUGAGGUAACGGCUCACCAAGUCAGCGAUGGGUAGCCGAUCUGAGAGGAUGACCGGCCACACUGGAACUGAGAGACGGUCCAG
Molecule: ribosomal RNA, 242 nt
Filed under: uncultured bacterium
Lineage: Bacteria
Description: partial 16S ribosomal RNA
Rfam family: Bacterial small subunit ribosomal RNA
Source: RNAcentral